RNAcentral lists this ribosomal RNA (497 nucleotides) under uncultured Glomeromycotina. RNAcentral describes it as "partial small subunit ribosomal RNA". It matches the Rfam family "Eukaryotic small subunit ribosomal RNA", at positions 591 to 1092 of the family's 1831-position model. The record is from RNAcentral. Lineage: Eukaryota; Fungi; Glomeromycota.
CCACUAGCGUAUAUUAAAGUUGUUGCAGUUAAAAAGCUCGUAGUUGAAUUUUAGGCCUGGCCGGGCGGUCCGUCUUUGGCGAGUACUGUCCUGUGUCGGGUCCACCUUCUGGUGAACCAGUAUGUCCUUUAUUGGGUGUGCCGGGGAGCCAGGACCAUUACCUUGAAAAAAUUAGAGUGUUUAAAGCAGGCAUUUGCUUGAAUAGAUUAGCAUGGAAUAAUAGAAUAGGACGUUGUGGUUCUAUUUUGUUGGUUUCUAGGACCACCGUAAUGAUUAAUAGGGAUAGUUGGGGGCAUUAGUAUUCAAUUGUCAGAGGUGAAAUUCUUGGAUUUAUUGAAGACUAACUACUGCGAAAGCAUUUGCCAAGGAUGUUUUCAUUAAUCAAGAACGAAAGUUAGGGGAUCGAAGACGAUCAGAUACCGUCGUAGUCUUAACCAUAAACUAUGCCGACUAGGAAUCGGGCGAUGUUGACAAAAUGACGCGCUCGGCACCUCAUG